This 72-nucleotide transfer RNA is filed under the name Camelus bactrianus (Bactrian camel). It matches the Rfam family "tRNA". Rfam says of the family: Transfer RNA (tRNA) molecules are approximately 80 nucleotides in length. Their secondary structure includes four short double-helical elements and three loops (D, anti-codon, and T loops). The record is from Rfam by way of RNAcentral. RNAcentral also lists the same sequence under 1 other name. Lineage: Eukaryota; Metazoa; Chordata; Mammalia; Artiodactyla; Camelidae.
GAGGGUACAGCUCAGUGGCAGAGCACAUGCCUAGCAUGCACGAGGUCCUAGGUUCAAUCCCCAGUACCACCA